AGUGAACGCUGGCGGUAGGCCUAACACAUGCAAGUCGAACGGCAGCACAGUAAGAGCUUGCUCUUACGGUUGGCGAGUGACGGACGGGUGAGGAAUACAUCGGCAUCUACUUUUUCGUGGGGGAUAACGUAGGGAAAGUUACGCUACUACAGCAUACGUCCUACGGCUGAAAGCAGGAGAUCUUCGGACCUUUCGCGAUUGAAUGAGCCGAGGUCGGAUUAGCUAGUUGGCGGGGUAAAGGCACACCAAGGCGACGAUACGUAGCUGGUCUGAGAGGAUGAUCAGCCACACUGGAACUGAGACACGGUCCAGACUCCUACGGGAGGCAGCAGUGGGGAAUAUUGGACAAUGGGCGCAAGCCUGAUCCAGCCAUGCCGCGUGGGUGAAGAAGGCCUUCGGGUUGUAAAGCCCUGUUGUUGGGAAAGAAAAGCAGCAGGUUAAUCCCCCGCUGUUCUGACGGUACCCAAAGAACAAGCACCGGCUAACUUCGUG
RNAcentral lists this ribosomal RNA (492 nucleotides) under uncultured bacterium. Its description in RNAcentral is "partial 16S ribosomal RNA". It matches the Rfam family "Bacterial small subunit ribosomal RNA", at positions 29 to 507 of the family's 1533-position model. The record is from RNAcentral.